Magnolia sinica is the source of this 201-nucleotide long non-coding RNA. RefSeq lists it as uncharacterized. The record is from RefSeq and is a predicted model, not a curated record. The transcript has 2 exons. NCBI's taxonomy places the organism in Eukaryota, Viridiplantae, Streptophyta, Magnoliopsida, Magnoliales, Magnoliaceae.
AUCAUUUGUAUUUACUAUUUAUCCGUGUCAAAUAGAAACUGUGCCCAUUAGAACUGUAAACCGGCAAUGCUCAUCUGGACUCCAGGCAGUUGCUGAUGUUGUUACUGCCAUUAAAGCUGGAUUUUAUGACAUAGGGAUUGGGGCUAGAUUGGAGUCUAUGACAACAAAUCCAAUGGCUUGAGAAGGGUCAAUAAAUCCUAA